UUACGGAAGGCAGCAGUGAGGAAUAUUGGUCAAUGGGCGAGAGCCUGAACCAGCCAUGCCGCGUGCAGGAUGACUGCCCUAUGGGUUGUAAACUGCUUUUAUUGGGGAAUAAACCUUUCUACGUGUAGGAAGCUGAAGGUACUCAAUGAAUAAGCACCGGCUAACUCCGUGCCAGCAGCCGCGGUAAUACGGAGGGUGCAAGCGUUAUCCGGAAUCAUUGGGUUUAAAGGGUCCGCAGGCGGAUUUAUAAGUCAGUGGUGAAAGCCUAUUGCUCAACAAUAGAACUGCCAUUGAUACUGUAAGUCUUGAAUUCGGUCGAAGUGGGCGGAAUAUGACAUGUAGCGGUGAAAUGCUUAGAUAUGUCAUAGAACACCGAUAGCGAAGGCAGCUCACUAGGCCUGGAUUGACGCUCAGGGACGAAAGCGUGGGGAGCAAACAGGAUUAGAUACCCCAGUA
RNAcentral lists this ribosomal RNA (456 nucleotides) under uncultured bacterium. RNAcentral describes it as "bacterial SSU rRNA". It matches the Rfam family "Bacterial small subunit ribosomal RNA", at positions 339 to 792 of the family's 1533-position model. The record is from RNAcentral.